CCUACGGGCGGCAGCAGUGGGGAAUAUUGGACAAUGGGGGCAACCCUGAUCCAGCCAUGCCGCGUGUGUGAAGAAGGCCCUCGGGUUGUAAAGCACUUUCAGUGAGGAAGAACGCCUGGUGGUUAAUACCCAUCAGGAAAGACAUCACUCACAGAAGAAGCACCGGCUAACUCCGUGCCAGCAGCCGCGGUAAUACGGAGGGUGCGAGCGUUAAUCGGAAUUACUGGGCGUAAAGCGCGCGUAGGUGGCUUGAUAAGCCGGUUGUGAAAGCCCCGGGCUCAACCUGGGAACGGCAUCCGGAACUGUCAAGCUAGAGUGCAGGAGAGGAAGGUAGAAUUCCCGGGGUAGCGGUGAAAUGCGUAGAGAUCGGGAGGAAUACCAGUGGCGAAGGCGGCCUUCUGGACUGACACUGACACUGAGGUGCGAAAGCGUGGGUAGCAAACAGGAUUAGAUACCCCAGUAGUC
Molecule: ribosomal RNA, 465 nt
Filed under: Vreelandella stevensii
Lineage: Bacteria; Pseudomonadati; Pseudomonadota; Gammaproteobacteria; Oceanospirillales; Halomonadaceae
Description: partial 16S ribosomal RNA
Rfam family: Bacterial small subunit ribosomal RNA
Source: RNAcentral